UGCCUCAGUAACGGCGAGUGAAGCGGCAACAGCUCAAAUUUGAAAUCUGGCCCCAGGCCCGAGUUGUAAUUUGCAGAGGAUGCUUUUGGUGCGGUGCCUUCCAAGUUCCCUAGAACGGGACGCCAGAGAGGGUGAGAGCCCCGUACAGUUGGACACCAAGCCUUUGUAAAGCUCCUUCGACGAGUCGAGUAGUUUGGGAAUGCUGCUCAAAAUGGGAGGUAUAUUUCUUCUAAAGCUAAAUACCGGCCAGAGACCGAUAGCGCACAAGUAGAGUGAUCGAAAGAUGAAAAGCACUUUGAAAAGAGGGUUAAACAGCACGUGAAAUUGUUAAAAGGGAAGCGCUUGUGACCAGACUUGCGUCCGGUGAAUCACCCAGCUCUCGCGGCUGGGGCACUUCGCCGGCUCAGGCCAGCAUCAGCUCGCUGUCGGGGACAAAAGCUUCAGGAACGUAGCUCUCUUCGGGGAGUGUUAUAGCCUGUUGCACAAUACCCUUCGGCGGGCUGAGGUACGCGCUCCGCAAGGAUGCUGGCAUAAUGGUCAUCAGCGACCCGUCUUGAAACACGGACCAAGGAGUCAACCUUAUGUGCGAGUGUUCGGGUGUCAAACCCCUACGCGUAAUGAAAGUGAACGCAGGUGAGAGCUUCGGCGCAUCAUCGACCGAUCCUGAUGUUCUCGGAUGGAUUUGAGUAAGAGCAUAUAGGGUUGGACCCGAAAGAAGGUGAACUAUGCGUGUAUAGGGUGAAGCCAGAGGAAACUCUGGUGGAGGCUCGCAGCGGUUCUGACGUGCAAAUCGAUCGUCAAAUAUGCGCAUGGGGGCGAAAGACU
RNAcentral lists this ribosomal RNA (825 nucleotides) under Colletotrichum gloeosporioides. Its description in RNAcentral is "eukaryotic LSU rRNA". It matches the Rfam family "Eukaryotic large subunit ribosomal RNA", at positions 76 to 932 of the family's 3401-position model. Lineage: Eukaryota; Fungi; Ascomycota; Sordariomycetes; Glomerellales; Glomerellaceae. The record is from RNAcentral.